This 308-nucleotide ribosomal RNA is filed under the name uncultured bacterium. RNAcentral's name for it is "partial 16S ribosomal RNA". It matches the Rfam family "Bacterial small subunit ribosomal RNA", at positions 505 to 808 of the family's 1533-position model. The record is from RNAcentral.
GAGACAGCAGCCGCCACGGUAAUACGAAGGGGGCUAGCGUUGCUCGGAAUCACUGGGCGUAAAGGGUGCGUAGGCGGUCUUUAAGUCAGGGGUGAAAUCCUGGAGCUCAACUCCAGAACUGCCUUUGAUACUGAAGAUCUUGAGUUCGGGAGAGGUGAGUGGAACUGCGAGUGUAGAGGUGAAAUUCGUAGAUAUUCGCAAGAACACCAGUGGCGAAGGCGGCUCACUGGCCCGAUACUGACGCUAAGGCACGAAAGCGUGGGGAGCAAACAGGAUUAGAUACCCCCGUAGUCCCUGUCUCUUAUACC